Molecule: long non-coding RNA, 3246 nt
Organism: Ahaetulla prasina
Lineage: Eukaryota; Metazoa; Chordata; Lepidosauria; Squamata; Colubridae
Exons: 3
Source: RefSeq, a predicted model, not a curated record
GAGCCACUGAAUCAAUUUCAAACCAGCAUCCUUCCAGAUGUGUUGAACCUCAACUUCUAUGGUGCUGGCUAAUGUUCGAUAAGGUGACCUAGAUGGGGAAAUCUGGAGUACAAAAGUGGACUGAUUAGCGGAAUUGCAAAACCACCACAACACCAAAAAAGAACAAUCAGUCUUCAGCCGGGCCCCUCCCGUCUCCAACUCCGAGUCUGAUAAUGAAGAUGAACGGCCUGUCAUGACUCCAGCCCCUGGCCCUGGCCCCAUGCCCAGAGAGGAUUCAAAGAGUGAAAGGAGAAGCCCAGUAAACCUCACUCAUACAGCGUGUGUUCCUUUGGCUCAGCCUUCAGAGCAGGAAGCCAGCCAGGUGAUGGAAUUACCCGGGCCUACUCCCUCUGACCCCUCCCUUUCCCAGACACUGACAGCACAUCCAGCUGAAGACAAUUCAGAGUGGGUGGACCCUCGCUUCCGGAGAUCUGAGGCGCGACGCCAGCAGAAGGAAGGGUGGGGCAGGCCUGGAUAAAUGCUGAGUCAUGGAGCCACACCCCACAGCCUAUAUAAAGGACCUGCUUUUGGUAUUCCAACCUUGAGUCAAGCAAAAUCUUAUCUAGUUUGCUGAUAUCGGACCCUAUCACUGAAGUCACAACUUGGACUCCUGCCUGCCCUGAUAAACCUCGAAGGAACUUGGCAAGCUGCAGAGGCUUCGUUGCCAAGUUUGUUACGGACUUCCUUGACUCGUUCGUCGGAGUGGGAGUAGGACACGACAUUCCUCAUGUCAGUUAUCUAAAGGUAAUCUAAGUAUCAUUUCAAAAUACCUACCAUGUUUCCCCAGAAAUAAGACCCUGUCAUAUUUUUUUGAACCCAGAAAUAAGCGCUUGGCCUUAUUUUCAGGGAGGUCUUAUUAUUUUGGGGCACAUGAAGCAAGAUGGGGCUCUUCUUGCCGUCUUACCUGAUUUCCAGCUCUGUCUCCCUAAUCCUAACCCUAACCAGAGGAAAUGGCGGGGACCAGCUGCGCAUGUGGUUUAAUAUUUUUCAGAGGGGCCCUUAUUUUAGGAGAAACAUGGUAUAUCCGUUCAGCCUUUCAUAAAAAGUUUUAGAAACAGAUUUCUUAGUGGGAGCAUAAUUUUUCUCACACCCUGCCAUAAAACUUCCAAUAUUAUCUGAACUCAGAUGCCUUAAACGCUCAGAUGUCUUUAUCCCAAAAGGAAACUUACAGCUCUUUGAGUUGCAGAAAACAGAGGUGUGCCUGGCAGAAACAGAAACAUCAAAAGGGCUGCUGAUCAUUAGCUGGGGUUUCAUUCCCCAUUCCACUCGGCUCAUUUUAAGAUAAAUUUAACUAAUUUGCAACAUUGCACUAACAUCUAUCAGUGUGUCCGGAGGCUUGAUUUCAGCAAGUUAUGAGAUAUUAAUUAUACUGGAGACAAAAAAUGUAAUCUUUAAAUUAAAGGUUUGUUUCUAAUGUUUCAUGCGGUCUCUUUUCUUCAGUUAUGUUUCCAGGAAAAUGUAUAAUCUGAUCUUGAUCAAAACCUGACUAUUCCAAUAUAUUUAACUAAAUAUAUUCCUGUUCCUUCCAAGGGCUCUUAGCUGCCAUUUUGCUGCCACCCAUUCCUCAGGAAACUUGGACCAUAAGAAAGGCUGAGCGCCAAAGAAUUGAGGCCUUUGAACUAUGGUGCUGGAGAAGACUCCUGCAAGUCCCUUGGACUGCAAGGCGAUCAAACCGGUCAGUCCUAGAUCAAUCCUGACUGCUCUUUAGAAGGCCAGAUCCCGAAGAUGAAACUCAAAUACUUUGGCCACCUAAUGAGAAGGAAGGACUCACUGGAGAAGAACCUAAUGCUGGGAAAGAUUAAGGGCAAAAGAAGAAGGGGACGACAGAGAACGAGGUGGCUGGCUGGAGUCACUGAAGCAGUCAGCGUGAGCUUAAAUGGACUUCAGAGGAUGGUAGAGGACAGGAAAACCUGGAGGAACGUUGUCCAUGGGGUCAUGACUUCGCAACUAACAACAAAUUCCUCAGGAUGACAGCAACUGAGCAGAAGAACAUUUUAGCAGACAAAGCUGCUUUUCUAUUUCAUAUGAUGAAAAAACUGCAUUUGUGAACUGCUGCUUCUUGUACAGCUCUUAUGGUCAAGCAAUCCUGUUGGGAAACAGAACUGGAUCUUUAGCACAUGCUAAAGUCUGCAUAAAACUAAAGAGCAGAAUAAGAAAGGCGGGAGUGCUUGUUUUACACACAUCACAGCCCAGGUUUAUUUUAAUCAUGGUUAUUGAACACACAGUGCCAAGCCAUAAACUGUUUUAGAAAUACCUCGGGAUGAACCAGAAUUAAGACAUACUAAAACUUGGUAUGAUUUGUGUUUUCAGCCAUUAUGUCUCUGUGUUUUGUUCUACAAAAUUGUGCAGAAUUAAAACACAGUUUCAUGUAGCUUGAAAGCUAGUAUUCCAGAUAUUAGCUGCAUAUUUCCUCUGUAUUUAUUAUUUAGAAUAAAUAACCCUCCUGAGAAUUUAAUAAGAAAUAGAUUUUCCUCAGCAAUAAAAUUAGUUUCCAUGAUCAUUUGACUUUUCAGUAAUUGUAAACUGACGCACUCUAACAAUGUUGCUGAAUUUCUUUUUAUAUUUUAAAAAAGUACAACUAAAAAAGUACUAUUCAAAAUAUUUGUUAUUGAGUGGUACAGAAAUUUUAAAAAUACUUCAACAAUAAGCAAAAAAUAAUAACAACAACAUUGCUUAAAAAUCCUAUUCUUACCACGAGAAAAUAAAAAUGCACACUUAUCUGCUCCAUGCCCUUAUUUCUUAAAAAUAUUGAUCAUUUCGUGGUUCAGUUGGCUAAUUUACUAAAUAAAGCUUACCCAUACUAAUAAAAAAUACAGACUUGAAAUGGUAACCAUUCAUUGGUGUUCAGUGUUGGUGCAUUAUUUUUCAAAUACUGUAUGUAGCAAUGCAGGGAUCAUUCUAUCAAGAAGAUAGGUGGCAUUUAAAUUUAAUAAAUAAAUAUAUGCAAACACACCUGAGAAAAUACCACAUCUGAAUACUUUAAAUAGCGCAACAGCAGAAACUAAAUGGUAUGUGUUGCUAUCUACUUCAAUAUUGAUUUUAUUUGUUUUGGAGUGUUAUACCUGUUUGCCUGUUUAUGAAAAAGUCAGCCUUGUAAUGGCAGAAUGCAGACUUUGCAAACAGAGCUGAUGAAGACAAAGAAUACCAGUACAGCUCUUCCAAGGUGGAAGAAGAUCCAGCCAUACACUUACAAUGUCCAAGGCAGGA